Molecule: long non-coding RNA, 561 nt
Filed under: Bos taurus (domestic cattle)
Lineage: Eukaryota; Metazoa; Chordata; Mammalia; Artiodactyla; Bovidae
Description: long non-coding RNA NONBTAT011911
Source: RNAcentral
UGGAGCCAGCUUAUUCUAGACCAAAAGGGCCUGGACUGUUCUAGGUACAAGAUGGUGCCAUGAAUGUGCCAAUCUCGCCUCUUAAGAAAAUGUUAAAACUAAAGUAAGUGCAUAAACUAUUAAACUAAAUGCAUGAGUCUUAUUUACAUAUAGGAAAUGGUAAUUCAGAAAGCUAGCCUGUGAGAUUAUCAAUCAUCACCAAACCAGAUCUUGAUGACUGUCACAUCUCUGCUAUAUUUUCCAAAUAGGAAAUCCCAUUUACCAGGGCCCUCCUGAAAUGCCUGGGAUUAUGCCAAGGAUCGCUUCCCUAGUUAUUUUUAUGUGUAGACCUGAGGAGUGGCAGAGUAUGUAACCUUUAAAGAUCAUUAAGCACCAGUCUUGGGCUCAGCCUGAAUUCUCACUCAGCAAGAGUAAUGUAAUUGCAAUUAUAGAACUGAUCCAUUUUAUCACUUUCUGAGAGAUCAAUUGUCAGAGAUUGAGACUCUUAAUUCAUCCUGGGUUUUAAGGAAUAUUUAAAUGAGAAUAAGGAAUAAAUUGAAAACAUCAAGAAACUGACACAAA